RNAcentral lists this ribosomal RNA (119 nucleotides) under Cebus imitator (Panamanian white-faced capuchin). The record is from RNAcentral. Lineage: Eukaryota; Metazoa; Chordata; Mammalia; Primates; Cebidae.
GUCUACAGCCAUACCACCCUGAACGCACCCGAUCUCGUCUGACCUUGGAAGCUAAGCAGGGUCGGGCCUGGUUAGUACUUGGAUGGGAGAGCGCCUGGGAAUACCGGGUGCUGUAGGCU